RNAcentral lists this ribosomal RNA (330 nucleotides) under Triticum aestivum (bread wheat). RNAcentral's name for it is "partial small subunit ribosomal RNA". Lineage: Eukaryota; Viridiplantae; Streptophyta; Magnoliopsida; Poales; Poaceae. The record is from RNAcentral.
UCAUGGAACAUACUCGUAAAGCCUCAUAAAAAUCUUAUAAUCCUGAGGAGUUUCUACCAUGUAGGAACACUCUUUAAUUGAACUUUUGUUUUAACUGGUACCGACCAAGAAACCACCAGCUUUGUUUGGUGGGCUGGGAAUGCCAGAAUAAUAAAUAUUUAUGCUAAACUACUUGGAGCUCACGUAGCCCAUGACGGAUUAAUCGUAUUCUGGGCUAGAGCAAUGGACCUAUUUGAAGUGGCCCAUUUCGUACCAGAAAAGCCCAUGCAUGAACAAGGGUUGAUUUUACUUCCACACUUACCUACUCUAGGUACCCCUAAAAAAACUUAG